Molecule: unclassified non-coding RNA, 406 nt
Filed under: soil metagenome
Description: partial contains 5.8S ribosomal RNA, internal transcribed spacer 2, and large subunit ribosomal RNA
Rfam family: 5.8S ribosomal RNA (bases 1-121)
Source: RNAcentral
GAUGAAGAACGCAGCGAAAUGCGAUAAGUAAUGUGAAUUGCAGAAUUCAGUGAAUCAUCGAAUCUUUGAACGCACCUUGCGCCCUUUGGACAUUCCGAAGGGCAUGCCUGUUUGAGUAUCAUGAACACCUCAACUCUCACGGCUUGUCCGUGAUGAGCUUGGACUUUGGGGGUCUUGCCGGCCUGUGGUCGGCUCCUCUCAAAUGGAUCAGCUUGCCAGUGUUUGGUGGCAUCACAGGUGUGAUAACUAUCUGCGCUUGUGGUUUUCCAUCAGAUAACCUUCAGUGAUAUGGAGGUUCGCUGGAGCUCACAAAUGUCUCUCCUUAGUGAGGACAGCUCUUUGAACGUUUGAUCUCAAAUCAGGUAGGACUACCCGCUGAACUUAAGCAUAUCAAUAAGCGGAGGAU